UACAGAGGGUGCAAGCGUUAAUCGGAAUUACUGGGCGUAAAGCGCGCGUAGGUGGCUAAGUAAGAUGGGUGUGAAAUCCCCGGGCUCAACCUGGGAACUGCAUCCAUAACUGCUUGGCUAGAGUACGGUAGAGGGUAGUGGAAUUUCCUGUGUAGCGGUGAAAUGCGUAGAUAUAGGAAGGAACACCAGUGGCGAAGGCGACUACCUGGACUGAUACUGACACUGAGGUGCGAAAGCGUGGGGAGCAAACAGG
This 253-nucleotide non-coding RNA is filed under the name uncultured bacterium. Its description in RNAcentral is "partial 16S ribosomal RNA". It matches the Rfam family "Bacterial small subunit ribosomal RNA", at positions 524 to 776 of the family's 1533-position model. The record is from RNAcentral. RNAcentral also lists the same sequence under 1 other name.